Molecule: ribosomal RNA, 447 nt
Filed under: uncultured bacterium
Lineage: Bacteria
Description: bacterial SSU rRNA
Rfam family: Bacterial small subunit ribosomal RNA
Source: RNAcentral
CCCCAGACUCCUACGGGAGGCAGCAGUGGGGAAUAUUGCACAAUGGGGGAAACCCUGAUGCAGCGACGCCGCGUGAGUGAGGAAGUAUUUCGGUAUGUAAAGCUCUAUCAGCAGGGAAGAAAAUGACGGUACCUGACUAAGAAGCCCCGGCUAACUACGUGCCAGCAGCCGCGGUAAUACGUAGGGGGCAAGCGUUAUCCGGAUUUACUGGGUGUAAAGGGAGCGUAGACGGACUUGCAAGUCUGAUGUGAAAAUCCGGGGCCCAACCCCGGAACUGCAUUGGAAACUGUAUAUCUAGAGUGUCGGAGAGGCAAGUGGAAUUCCUGGUGUAGCGGUGAAAUGCGUAGAUAUUAGGAGGAACACCAGUGGCGAAGGCGACUUUCUGGACUGUACCUGACGCUGAGGCGCGAAAGCGUGGGUAGCGAACGGGAUUAGAUACCCCUGUAU